CCUACGGGUGGCAGCAGUGGGGAAUAUUGCACAAUGGGGGGAACCCUGAUGCAGCGACGCCGCGUGAGUGAAGAAGUAUUUCGGUAUGUAAAGCUCUGUCAGCAGGGAAGAAGAAAGACGGUACCGGACCAAGAAGCCCCGGCUAACUACGUGCCAGCAGCCGCGGUAAUACGGAGGGGGCAAGCGUUAUCCGGAUUUACUGGGUGGAACGGGAGCGUAGACGGGAGGGCCAGUCGGGAGGGAAAGGAAGGGGCCCAACCCCUGGACUGCUCUGGAAACUGUCCGGCUGGAGUGCAGGAGAGGUAAGUGGCCUUCCUCGUGUAGCGGUGAACUGCGUCGAUAUUAGGCGGCCCACCAGUGGCGACGGCGGCUUACUGGACUGUAACUGACGUUGCGGCUCGAAAGCGUGGGGAGCACACAGGAUUAGAUACCCCGGUAGUC
Molecule: ribosomal RNA, 441 nt
Filed under: uncultured bacterium
Lineage: Bacteria
Description: partial 16S ribosomal RNA
Rfam family: Bacterial small subunit ribosomal RNA
Source: RNAcentral